RNAcentral lists this unclassified non-coding RNA (900 nucleotides) under Hevea brasiliensis (rubber tree). Lineage: Eukaryota; Viridiplantae; Streptophyta; Magnoliopsida; Malpighiales; Euphorbiaceae. The record is from RNAcentral.
UCUCCUCCUCGAUCUCAGGAGCAAUCGAUCCCUGAGGUAGAGGUCAUCGCUCCUGCUCCCUAGCAAAUCGAGCUUCCACCUCCCCAUCCUCCUCCGAUCUCUUCUAAUGUAGAAGGAGAGUCUUCCAGUCCUACGGUCAAGACACUUUCCCGGGGCGCUCAACUUCUGAUCCAAUCGUUGAAAAGGAACUGCUCUACAAGGGGGAAUCUCGGCCUGGCCAAAGUCAUGGGAGCUUCCAUUUGCUUCCAAGAAGAUCGGAACCGGUUGGUAGAGGAGAGCAUGGAUGAUAUCUUAGCUCAGACAAUGAGCUUGGGCUUAGAGGCCAUUGCAAAUCAGCACGUACUCAGAGAGAAAGCCCACGCUUUAAAGAAGGAGAUCCUCAAGGCGGUCCAAGACGCCUUAGCUGCGCAAGCUCAGCUCUCCUCUGCUAACGACUACAUCGCCAGAAUGGAAGAACGGAUGAAGCAUUAUGACGAGAGGAUAGCGGAGGUGGAACGAGAACUUGAAGAUUCCUGAGCUAGUCGGUCUGCUGAUCUUGCUCGUUAUGCUGAAGACCUUUGGGCAAAGGAGGAAGAGCUCCGAGCCAAGGAUGAGGAACUUCAAGCUAAGGAAGAGGAGAGCACCACGAAGGAGGCCGGGGCUUAUGUGAACGCCUAUAAUGACCUUCUGGACGAGCUGAGGAAGCGGUAUUCUGAAGAGGACUUCUCCUGGAUGAACGAGCUCGCCCCAGAGGCCGAAGAUGAGAACGACGAGGAUCCAGAGAGAGGGAGAGAAUGAGAGAAAUGAUGAUGUACUUAGAGAACAAGCUGGGGGAGACCCUCCAGCCGAAUGACUUGUAAAUUUUUAUUUUGAGAUGAAGUGAAGUAAAUUUUUAUUUUCAAUUUCUUGAUGAGAUCGGAA